Molecule: ribosomal RNA, 253 nt
Filed under: uncultured bacterium
Lineage: Bacteria
Description: partial 16S ribosomal RNA
Rfam family: Bacterial small subunit ribosomal RNA
Source: RNAcentral
UACGUAGGGGGCAAGCGUUGUCCGGAUUUAUUGGGCGUAAAGAGCGUGUAGGCGGCUAGGUAGGUCCGUUGUGAAAACUCGAGGCUCAACCUCGAGCUGUCGAUGGAAACCAUCUGGCUAGAGUCCGGAAGAGGAGAGUGGAAUUCCUGGUGUAGCGGUGAAAUGCGUAGAGAUCAGGAAGAACAUCGGUGGCGAAGGCGCUCUGCUGGACCAUAACUGACACUCAGGGACGAAAGCUAGGGGAGCGAAUGGG